GGUGGAUGUAGCUCAGCUGGUUAGAGCGACGGAUUGUGGUUCCGUAGGUCGUGGGUUCGAGCCCCAUCCUCCACCCCCA
RNAcentral lists this transfer RNA (79 nucleotides) under Dysgonamonadaceae bacterium. Its description in RNAcentral is "tRNA-His". It matches the Rfam family "tRNA". From Rfam's summary of the family: Transfer RNA (tRNA) molecules are approximately 80 nucleotides in length. Their secondary structure includes four short double-helical elements and three loops (D, anti-codon, and T loops). Lineage: Bacteria; Pseudomonadati; Bacteroidota; Bacteroidia; Bacteroidales; Dysgonomonadaceae. The record is from RNAcentral.